GAACGAACGCUGGCGGCAGGCCUAACACAUGCAAGUCGAGCGGACCUUUCGGGGUCAGCGGCGGACGGGUGAGUAACGCGUGGGAAUAUGCCCUUCUCUACGGAAUAGUCCUGGGAAACUGGGGGUAAUACCGUAUACGCCCUUUGGGGGAAAGAUUUAUCGGGGAAGGAUUAGCCCGCGUUGGAUUAGGUAGUUGGUGGGGUAAUGGCCUACCAAGCCGACGAUCCAUAGCUGGUUUGAGAGGAUGAUCAGCCACACUGGGACUGAGACACGGCCCAGACUCCUACGGGAGGCAGCAGUGGGGAAUCUUAGACAAUGGGGGCAACCCUGAUCUAGCCAUGCCGCGUGAGUGAUGAAGGCCUUAGGGUUGUAAAGCUCUUUCAGCUGGGAAGAUAAUGACGGUACCAGCAGAAGAAGCCCCGGCUAACUCCGUG
Molecule: ribosomal RNA, 434 nt
Filed under: uncultured bacterium
Lineage: Bacteria
Description: partial 16S ribosomal RNA
Rfam family: Bacterial small subunit ribosomal RNA
Source: RNAcentral